CUUGAAGGGAAAUGAAUUUGUAGGCUGUCCCUACAAAUGGGUGGGUGUGGAAAGGAUAGAAAUGGAUUUUGAACAGACUGCAGAUGUUUUCUAGACUGAUGGCGAGCUGCAAAGCUAUGAGCCAAGUCUGUCAAUAGGAAAAGAUGAAGGAGGCCUUUGUAGGAAGAACACUGCCCUUGAGAUACAUGUAAAAACAGCAAGAGUUGCGGUGUGCGAGAGGACAGAAAUAACAGCGGGGGCUCAAAAAAAGCAGCGGAUGUAAAAAGGGUGGAGGCAUGGCCCUGCUGAUGACAGCAAUGCUUGGUGUGGCCAAGGCUCAUGCGGCCACAGAAAGCCCACAGGACAGCUCCCAGAUGCACUGCAAGCAUCUGUCCCACCAUCCCCAGCUCACAGCAAAGCAGACACCUGAAGCAGAAGCUGCUCCCCAAAAGCAGCGCCCCAGAAGAUGCUGGGGCAGGUGCCAUGGGCAAGGCUGUCUCCUUCUGGCCCUGCCGUCCUGCUCCUGGCCCUCUGUGGCAGCAUGACCUCCCAGGACAUCUGCAGCUUCCCAGGGGAUCUCCGAGCUCCUGCUCUCCAAAUGAACUCAACUUCUGCUCAGCCAGGUACCACAGUUGUGCUCCAGUGUAUUCUCCAUGUGGUGUCAAGUGUAAGACAAGUCAUUUUCUGCAAGGAUGGGAUGGAGGUGUACAGUCUGAAAGCCCAGCAAGGGCAGCUGAGAUACUCCGUGGUCCUGAACAUCACGUCAAGGAGCGCAGGAAGAUAUACAUGUGGGUACCAGCAGAGGAAUGA
RNAcentral lists this long non-coding RNA (789 nucleotides) under Anas platyrhynchos platyrhynchos (common mallard). Its description in RNAcentral is "lncRNA (ENSAPLG00000018971.1)". Lineage: Eukaryota; Metazoa; Chordata; Aves; Anseriformes; Anatidae. The record is from RNAcentral.